Cololabis saira (Pacific saury) is the source of this 486-nucleotide non-coding RNA. The record is from the annotation of a RefSeq genome assembly. NCBI's taxonomy places the organism in Eukaryota, Metazoa, Chordata, Actinopteri, Beloniformes, Belonidae.
AUGAAGACGAGCAAGACGAAGACGUUCACCAUGAUCUUCAGGCUGUGUCUUAUUCUGCUCCUGAAUAACGGAGCCUGUAACGUCUACAACGUCCUCCAAUCACCUCCCUCCGUCUGUAAGAGCCCGGGGGAAUCCGUCCUCAGUGAGAUCUACUGUUCACACAGCGUGUCUGGUUUUGAUCGCAUCCUUUGGUACAAACAGGACAAACGCGGAGCUCUGAAGUUCCUCGGAUAUCUGAAUGUGAAUUCCCCCAAUCCAGAAGAAGACGUGAAAGGAAAGAUCAGCUUCACCGGGGAUGGGAGGACACAUUCAAACCUUUCUAUUUCUGCUGUUUCAGUAGAUGACAGUGCAGUUUACUUCUGUGCUGCUAGUCUCCACAGUGAAACAUCUCAGAGCUCCUCAGUACAAAAACCUCCUCACAGCCCUCUGCACCUGCAACCAGACCAUGUGGUUGAGGAUGAGGAGGAAUAUUUGUCCAUUCAGUGA